GAUGAACGCUGGCGGCGUGCUUAACACAUGCAAGUCGAACGGAAAGGCUCCUGCUUGCCGGGGCACUCGAGUGGCGAACGGGUGAGUAACACGUGGGUGAUCUGCCCUGCACUUCGGGAUAAGCCUGGGAAACUGGGUCUAAUACCGGAUAGGACCAUCGUUUAGUGUCGGUGGUGGAAAGUUUUUGCGGUGUGGGAUGAGCUCUCGGCCUAUCCGCUUGUUGGUGGGGUAAUGGCCGACGAAGGCAUAGCCGGGUAGCCGGCCUGAGAGGGUGUACGGCGACAAGGGGCCUGAGAGAGGGCGCAGAAUCCAACGGGAGGCAGUGGUGGGGAAUAUGGCGGAGUGGGGGCAAGCCUGAGGCAGAGAUGCCGGGUGGGGGAUGACGGCCUUCGGGUUGUAAACACCUGUCGCCAGGGACGAAGCGAAAGUGACGGUACCUGGAUAGGAAGCAACGGCUAACUACGUG
This 466-nucleotide ribosomal RNA is filed under the name uncultured bacterium. Its description in RNAcentral is "partial 16S ribosomal RNA". It matches the Rfam family "Bacterial small subunit ribosomal RNA", at positions 28 to 507 of the family's 1533-position model. The record is from RNAcentral.